This 445-nucleotide ribosomal RNA is filed under the name uncultured bacterium. RNAcentral describes it as "SSU rRNA". It matches the Rfam family "Bacterial small subunit ribosomal RNA", at positions 26 to 518 of the family's 1533-position model. The record is from RNAcentral.
AGAACGAACGCUGGCGGCAGGCUUAACACAUGCAAGUCGAGCGCCCUGCAAGGGGAGCGGCGGACGGGUGAGUAACACGUGGGAACAUGCCCUUUGGUUCGGAACAACUCAGGGAAACUUGAGCUAAUACCGAAUGUGCCGGUAACGGGAAAGAUUUAUCGCCAAGGGAUUGGCCCGCGUCCGAUUAGCUAGUUGGUGAGGUAAAGGCUCACCAAGGCUCCGAUCGGUAGCUGGUUUGAGAGAACGACCAGCCACACUGGGACUGAGACACGGCCCAGACUCCUACGGGAGGCAGCAGUGGGGAAUCUUGGACAAUGGGGGAAACCCUGAUCCAGCCAUGCCGCGUGAGUGAUGAAGGCCCUAGGGUUGUAAAGCUCUUUUGUGCGGGAAGAUAAUGACGGUACCGCAAGAAUAAGCCCCGGCUAACGUUCGUGCCAGCAGCCGC